UGGCAACAGAGAGAACAUACCAGAUUUCUACUUUUAACUUCUUCUUAGCUAUGUGAGAGUGCUACUAAAUGAAACGAAGAACUGCAAACAUCUGUGAUUCAAAACUGCUUGCCAAAUACAGUGUGUCACGAUUUAUUUAGUCCAAAUCUACGUAACGAGAUGGACAAGGCUCAACGCUAAAACAUAAGAGCAAAGGAACGUGAACGAGAGCGAAAGAGAGGAAAAAUGUUGAUUCGUCGAGCAAAUGGAAAGCGACGAGAUCUAAAUGAAGAACUUAGCCUGCCUUAACUGCGGUUGAAUUACAUGGCCGCUGCUUAACGCGUCCCAAGCCGCGUUAAUUACGUUAAACUACCGGCAGGAAUUAAUUUCGUAGCACGGAGCUUUAUCUUAGAAAGCAUAGAUAAGAAAUGGCGUGCGAUAAAGUGAACCUGGCUGCCCUUGUCACGCCACCAAAUUAUUUGAUUCGCGUCGCCUUAAAUAAGGAAGAAUUAAGAACGAUGGGACAAGCAACGACAGCAGAAAGCCAUCAUCGAAAUUGGGAAAUUCGACGUCGUUCAACGAAACGAGGUUCCAUCGAAUUAAUUAUCGAGUGUUGUUAAUUAUUGGACUCGGCCAAUAAAACGUAUCCCCAUAAGCCAACCAUUGGCACAUGGGAAUGAGGACGAAGAGAGGAAAAACGAAACAAAGGCCCUUCGUGAUCGAGCGGGUAAGAGGGACCGCAUUUGCGCGAUGGAAAAUUUGCAAAACACCGAAUUUCGAUUACCCAUACGCGUGGUGAGAGUUAAAAAUACCAGAGGGAAUGAAUUAUAAUUAUCAAAUGGUACGAACGGCGUAUGGACACGUCCUCGAAAAUUAAAGUAGUUUAAAAUUAAAAUAGUGGUCGCAGUCGAAACGACUACGCGGUCUAUUAAUUGAGUCGUUACAAACGACUAACGUCGUUACUAAAUUCAUUGUGCUGGUUACAGUAACUUAUCCCGAUUCUUUACGAAGUAAAGGAAUUAGGAUUAUUAACACAUGCUUUUUAAGAAAUCAACGAGCCAUUGGGUUGAAUAGUUAGCAUUUGGUCUGGUAAAAUAGUCAAAUUUGAUUGAAUACAAUUGACAUUAAAAUUUACGUUAUAUAAUUUACUACGUCAAUAAAUUUACGUUGUAUUGAUAGUUAAUUAUUAAUAUAUACGAAAAGAUCUUGUAAUAAACGAAAGGCUGUAAUUGGGAAAUGCGAGUAUAAAUUAGAAAGUACAAAUUAUA
Molecule: long non-coding RNA, 1247 nt
Organism: Bombus pyrosoma
Lineage: Eukaryota; Metazoa; Arthropoda; Insecta; Hymenoptera; Apidae
Exons: 4
Source: RefSeq, a predicted model, not a curated record